ACGGAAGGCAGCAGUAGGGAAUCUUCGGCAAUGGGGGCAACCCUGACCGAGCAACGCCGCGUGAGUGAAGAAGGUUUUCGGAUCGUAAGGCUCUGUUGUAAGAGAAGAACGUGUGUGAGAGUGGAACGUUCACAAAGUGACGGUAACUUACCAGAAAGGGACGGCUAACUACGUGCCAGCAGCCGCGGUAAUACGUAGGUCCCGAGCGUUGUCCGGAUUUAUUGGGCGUAAAGCGAGCGCAGGCGGUUUAAUAAGUCUGAAGUUAAAGGCAGUGGCUUAACCAUUGUUCACUUUGGAAACUGUUAGACUUGAGUGCAGAAGGGGAGAGUGGAAUUCCAUGUGUAGCGGUGAAAUGCGUAGAUAUAUGGAUGAACACCGGUGGCGAAAGCGGCUCUCUGGUCUGUAACUGACGCUGAGGCUCUAAAGCGUGGGGAGCAAACAGGAUUAGAUACCCUGGUA
RNAcentral lists this ribosomal RNA (459 nucleotides) under uncultured Streptococcus sp. Its description in RNAcentral is "partial 16S ribosomal RNA". It matches the Rfam family "Bacterial small subunit ribosomal RNA", at positions 341 to 792 of the family's 1533-position model. Lineage: Bacteria; Bacillati; Bacillota; Bacilli; Lactobacillales; Streptococcaceae. The record is from RNAcentral.